AUGUCCGCAUGGCGGCUCCGCCCGCUCAUGCUCUUCCUCUUCCUCUUGCCCCGCGGCGCACUCUCACAGAUAGGGAGGGGAUUGGCGCUGCCGCCAUCAUCGCCGAUGGGGUUUAACAUAACGUGCAACAGCAUCGACUAUCCAUUUGGCAUCGAAGGGAUAGCGCAACAACCAGGCUUCGAGGUAACGUGCGGCCGAAACAGUGAGGCCAUGUUGCAGAUCGACAAGCAUAGCUAUAAAAUCGACUAUGUGUCGGUGGAAGAAGGCUUCGUCGUCGUCUUAGCCGGGCCCAUCCACCAAGUCUGCUACGACCGCAACGGUAAGCAGAUGAAGGCCACCGGAAUCGGCAAUAUCAGCUUGGAGCAGACGCCCUUCACCUUCUCCAAGAGCAAUAAGCUGGUGGCCACUGGAUGCAACUACAAGCUGGUUGCUAAGUUCAGCAACUCGUCGGACGGUGAAAGUUUCUGCUCCACCUCCUGCGACGAAUACUCCGGCACCGUCGAUUGUAUCCAUGGGUUAGCAUGCUGCGAGGUCCCCAUGCCGAUGAACACCACUCGAGAGUUCACCUUCAAGUUCGACAAGAUAGAAGAGCAAGACAUUGGCUACGAGGAUGGCACUUGUAGCGCUGCCUUCUUCCUCGACCAAGGCGAGCAAGUCUUCAUGGGUGGCAGAGGCAAUGCGCAGAGACCGCUGAAAGACAUGUUGUUGCCGGCUGUUGACCACAGGAUGAUCUUGGAUUGGGCAGUUGGACGCGGCACAUGCCACCAGGCCUCGACCCACAACUUGGCGCGAAGGUACUGCAACAAGAUGAGCGGGUGUAUUGACGCACCCAGUGGAGCGGGCCAUCUCUGCAAGUGUCAUGCAGGGUAUGACGGGAAUCCGUACGUUGCCGAUGGAUGUGUAGAUAUCGAUGAAUGCCGGACUUCCGACAGCAACAAUUGCACCAUUCAGGACUUCUGCCACAACACCCGAGGAGGUUAUACUUGCUCAUGUCCCAAUGGCUGGAUCGGUGACGGUUACCUUACAGGGACAAACUGCAGUGAGGCACUCAGUCCAUCUGGUGUUGGUCUUGCACUUGUGGUUAUAAUAUCUAGCACAGCUCUGUGCUGCUACUGGGGCAUGAAGAGAAGAAAGGUGAGAAGAAAGAGAGCUGAGUUAUUCCGUAAGAAUGGAGGCUUGCUGUUGCAGCAGAGAUUUACGGCAAUCACAUCUCAAGGUAAGGACUCUUCAGCAAAGAUAUUCAGUGCGGAAGAGCUCAAGACUGCAACUAACAACUAUAACGAGACUCGAAUUCUUGGCCGAGGUGCAUAUGGCACAGUGUACAAGGGUGUUCUUCCAGAUGAGACUGUGGUUGCUGUAAAGAAGUCUAGGGUGUUUGAUGAGAGCCAGGUGGAGCAAUUUGUCAAUGAGAUUACCAUCUUAUCACAGACCGAUCACCCGAAUGUUGUCAAGCUUUUGGGAUGUUGUCUAGAGAUAGAAGUUCCCUUGUUGGUAUAUGAGUUCAUACCCAAUGGAACACUCUUUCAGCACAUCCACAACAGAAGUGCACCUCGCUCCUUAACAUGGGAGGAUACCUUAAGGAUAGCUGCAGAAGCAGCAGAAGCACUUGCCUACCUCCAUUCCACAUCUUCUAUACCAAUUAUUCACAGGGAUAUCAAAUCAAGCAACAUAUUGUUGGAUGAGAACUUUGUGGCCAAAAUAUCAGACUUUGGUGCAUCAAGAUCAGUUCCAUUUGAUCAAACUCAUGUAACCACCCUUAUUCAAGGUACUAUAGGUUACCUCGAUCCUGAAUAUUUUCAAAGCAGCCAGCUCACAGAGAAGAGUGAUGUCUACAGUUUUGGAGUAGUUCUUGCAGAACUAUUGACAAGGCAGAAGCCCAUUUCUGUAGGCAGGCCAGAGGAAUCAUGCAACUUAGCAAUGCAUAUGGUGAUUCUAGUUAAUGAAGGGCGCCUACUUAAGGAGAUAGAGCCAGACAUUUUGGCAGAAGCAGGUGAAGAGCAGGUCUAUGCAGUUGCGCAGCUCUCUGUGAGAUGCUUAAAUAUGAAUGGGCAAGAACGACCCAUCAUGAAGGAGGUUGCAUCAGUUUUAGAGGGGCUAAGAAGGUCAUUCACCAAUGACAAGGAGCAAACUAUGAGAAGAACAGAUGAACCUGCACAGAAAUAUAAUGAACAAGGGCACCUUCUACGUGAGGCAAGCUCGACUUCCAACCUGCACUAUUCAGAAGGAAGCACACAGUUGAGCAUGGAGGCUGAAAUGAAAGCUUCUUGUCACACUCCAAGAUGA
This 2283-nucleotide ribosomal RNA is filed under the name Triticum aestivum (bread wheat). RNAcentral describes it as "partial small subunit ribosomal RNA". The record is from RNAcentral. Lineage: Eukaryota; Viridiplantae; Streptophyta; Magnoliopsida; Poales; Poaceae.